RNAcentral lists this ribosomal RNA (593 nucleotides) under Inocybe xanthomelas. Its description in RNAcentral is "eukaryotic LSU rRNA". The stretch from base 227 to 380 matches the Rfam family "5.8S ribosomal RNA". The record is from RNAcentral. Lineage: Eukaryota; Fungi; Basidiomycota; Agaricomycetes; Agaricales; Inocybaceae.
AGUAAAAGUCGUAACAAGGUUUCCGUAGGUGAACCUGCGGAAGGAUCAUUAUCGAAUAAAACUUGAACAGGUUGUUGCUGGCUCAUCCAGGGCAUGUGCACGCUUGUCAUUUAUUUAUCUCUCCACUGUGCACCAACUGUAGGUCUGGAGCUUGGCUGCUUUAGGUCUAUGUUUUUACAAUCUCUCAAUGUGUUUUUGGAAUGUCGAAUUGUAAAUAUAUAUAUACAACUUUCAGCAACGGAUCUCUUGGCUCUCGCAUCGAUGAAGAACGCAGCGAAAUGCGAUAAGUAAUGUGAAUUGCAGAAUUCAGUGAAUCAUCGAAUCUUUGAACGCAUCUUGCGCUCCUUGGUAUUCUGAGGAGCAUGCCUGUUUGAGUGUCAUCAAGUUCUCAACCCAUGCUGAUUGGUUUCAACGUGGAUUGGAUAUGGGAUAUUUGCAGGCCCUUUCAAAAGGUCUGCUCUCCUGAAAUGAAUUAGUGGUAAUCUGAAGCAGAGGCUACUACUGGGUGUGAUAACUAUCUAUGCCUCUUGUAAAAACUCUGUGUGCAGACUGCUUAAAACAAAUUUUGAUUGACCAAUUUGACCUCAAAUCAG